UAGUAAUCCUGCUCAGUACGAGAGGAACGACAGGUUCAGAGCCCUGGUGCAGGCACUUGGCUGAGGAGCCACUGGUGUGAGGCUACCAUCUGUGGGCGCAUGACUGAACGCCUCUAAGUCAGAAUCCUGCUG
This 132-nucleotide non-coding RNA is filed under the name Cathartes aura (turkey vulture). RNAcentral describes it as "Eukaryotic large subunit ribosomal RNA". It matches the Rfam family "Eukaryotic large subunit ribosomal RNA", at positions 3018 to 3148 of the family's 3401-position model. The record is from Rfam by way of RNAcentral. Lineage: Eukaryota; Metazoa; Chordata; Aves; Accipitriformes; Cathartidae.